Ictalurus punctatus (channel catfish) is the source of this 1216-nucleotide long non-coding RNA. RefSeq lists it as uncharacterized. NCBI's taxonomy places the organism in Eukaryota, Metazoa, Chordata, Actinopteri, Siluriformes, Ictaluridae. The record is from RefSeq and is a predicted model, not a curated record. The transcript is spliced from 4 exons.
CAUUUAGCGAGUGGAAUAGGGACCGCCCACAGCAGAGUUAAUGUGAAAUGCUGUGGGUAAGAAUUAUCAGUUAAAAAGGGUUCAAAACACAUAAAUAACUGUUUUAUUGUGAAUGUGCAUUACAGUGAACAUGUUAUGAAUCUCUUGAUGCGUGUUUGACGUCGAAUGUGUUAUUUCAUGUUGAGUUAUCUCGACUUUGUGUUACGAGGCCUGAUCGUAAUUUCUUUGUGUGUUAUCCUGUGUUUUAUGUAGGAUUCUGUAGUGUAUAGAGUGGACCUAUUUCUUUAAGUGGAAUCACUCCCCUUAGUGACUUCUGAUUGGUAAUUAGCCGUGCGCAUGGAUAUGUUGUUUUGCGCUUGCUCUGGUUAAUACAGGAGUUAACUUUACCUCCGAGUGUCUCCUUUGUUUUUUUCUUAAGUUGUAGUCUAACAUAAAGACACAACCGAUUCGUUUUAUUCCCUCUGCUACGAUCUCCUUAUUUCCACUUUUUAUGUCUCCAUUGUGCAGACUAAGAAUGGAGUUUAUUUUCUUCAUCUGGUGAUCAGUGAGUAAUCCUGAGGCGUAAGGCCGCUCUUGCCCCAGAGGCUCGGACCUCGACCUGAGUGGAGGUUUUUCUUGGGAGGAGCGGCAUGUAUCUUUCUGUGACAAAGUCAAGCAGACGCCUUAAUGCUCACCAGGGAGUUUAUUCUGAGUCUGCGCUCAGCUGUGGAUCAGUUGACCCUGCGUGAGACAUUCCUGUGGAAUUACUGCAAAGCUCCAAGAGAACUGUGGAGAUAUUGCAGAAGCCCAACAGAGCCUGGCCUUCAGCAAGUAAAACCAAUAGGAAACGGGCGGGUCCCACAGCUCCCUCCGUGUCUCUGCUCCCUCCGUCCCCUCUGCAGCUGUCUGAGGGAUCGGCCUCGCUGCUCUGCCUGCUGUCUGGCUACUCUCCACAGGGGGCGCUGGUGAGCUGGACAGUGGACGGCUCACAGGUGAAGAACGAGGUUCUGACCAGCGCAGAAGAAGAGAAGAACGGCCGUUACAGCCGCAGCAGCACCCUGACCCUCAGCAAAGACCUCUGGGAAAAGGGGGAGGAGUUCAGCUGUAGGGUCUCCCAUAACAACGUCGAUCAUCCGGUCACGUUCAGAAAGAGUCAGUGUGAAGGCUAGUGGAUCCAAGAUAGAGUUUAACAUAGAGCUGCUUAUGAUCCAUCUACAAUAGAGUUACACAAUGCUGA